This 71-nucleotide transfer RNA is filed under the name Stegodyphus mimosarum. It matches the Rfam family "tRNA". From Rfam's summary of the family: Transfer RNA (tRNA) molecules are approximately 80 nucleotides in length. The record is from Rfam by way of RNAcentral. Lineage: Eukaryota; Metazoa; Arthropoda; Arachnida; Araneae; Eresidae.
GCCUUCAUGGUGUAACGGUAGCACACUCGGCGCGUAAUCGAGAGGUCCAGGUUCGAACCCUGGCAAGGGCA